UAAAGGCUUGGUCCUGACUUUAUUAUCAACUUUUGCUAAACUUACACAUGCAAGUCUCCGCACCCCAGUGAGGAUGCCCUUAAUCCCUUAGCUAGGGAUGAGGAGCCGGUAUCAGGCACACACUAGAGUAGCCCAAGACGCCUUGCUAAGCCACACCCCCAAGGGAUUUCAGCAGUGAUAGAUAUUAAGCCAUGAGCGAAAGCUUGACUUAGUUAAAGUAGAUUAGGGCCGGUAAAACUCGUGCCAGCUACCGCGGUUAUACGAGAGGCCCAAGUGGAUAAAUAUCGGCGUAAAGCGUGGUUAAAGCUUAUCUAGAACUAAAGACGAACAUUUUCUUGGCUGUUAUACGCAUCCGAAAACGAGAAGAACACUAACGAAAGUGGCUUUAAAUUACUUGAACCCACGACAGCUAUGAUACAAACUGGGAUCAGAUACCCCACUAUGCUUAGCCAUAAACUGACAGUGAAUUACAAUUCUGUCCGCCAGGGAACUACAAGCGCCAGCUUAAAACCCAAAGGACUUGGCGGUGCCUCAGACCCACCUAGAGGAGCCUGUUCUGUAACCGAUAACCCCCGUUAAACCUCACCCCUCCUUGUUUUUUCCGCCUAUAUACCGCCGUCGUCAGCAUACCCUGUGAAGGAAACAUAGUAUGCAAAGUGGGCACUCCCCAAAACGUCAGGUCGAGGUGUAGCGAAUGGAGAGGGAAGAAAUGGGCUACAUUCUCUAAUUUAGAGCACUACGAAAGGGGCUGUGAAACCAGCCCCCGAAGGUGGAUUUAGCAGUAAAUAAAAGCUAGAGUAUUUUGUUGAAAUUGGCUCUGAAGCGCGCACACACCGCCCGUCACUCUCCCCAAGUUAGCUUUUACAAUUUAUAAAAUUAAUAAUAAACAAAGAGGAGGCAAGUCGUAACAUGGUAAGUGUACCGGAAGGUGUACUUGGAUAAAC
RNAcentral lists this non-coding RNA (944 nucleotides) under Lovettia sealii (Tasmanian whitebait). Its description in RNAcentral is "12S ribosomal RNA". It matches the Rfam family "Bacterial small subunit ribosomal RNA". The record is from RNAcentral. Lineage: Eukaryota; Metazoa; Chordata; Actinopteri; Galaxiiformes; Galaxiidae.